RNAcentral lists this ribosomal RNA (227 nucleotides) under uncultured Bacteroides sp. Its description in RNAcentral is "partial 16S ribosomal RNA". It matches the Rfam family "Bacterial small subunit ribosomal RNA", at positions 383 to 607 of the family's 1533-position model. The record is from RNAcentral. Lineage: Bacteria; Pseudomonadati; Bacteroidota; Bacteroidia; Bacteroidales; Bacteroidaceae.
CUGAACCAGCCAAGUAGCGUGAAGGAUGACUGCCCUAUGGGUUGUAAACUUCUUUCAUAUGGGAAUAAAGUGGUCCACGUGUGGAUUUUUGUAUGUACCAUAUGAAUAAGGAUCGGCUAACUCCGUGCCAGCAGCCGCGGUAAUACGGAGGAUCCGAGCGUUAUCCGGAUUUAUUGGGUUUAAAGGGAGCGUAGGCGGAUUGUUAAGUCAGUUGUGAAAGUUUGCGG